This 433-nucleotide ribosomal RNA is filed under the name uncultured bacterium. Its description in RNAcentral is "partial 16S ribosomal RNA". It matches the Rfam family "Bacterial small subunit ribosomal RNA", at positions 29 to 507 of the family's 1533-position model. The record is from RNAcentral.
AACGAACGCUGGCGGCAUGCCUAACACAUGCAAGUCGAACGAGACCUUCGGGUCUAGUGGCGCACGGGUGCGUAACGCGUGGGAACCUGCCCUUAGGUUCGGAAUAACUCCCCGAAAGGGGUGCUAAUACCGGAUAAUGUCUUCGGACCAAAGAUUUAUCGCCUUUGGAUGGGCCCGCGUUGGAUUAGCUAGUUGGUAGGGUAAAAGCCUACCAAGGCGACGAUCCAUAGCUGGUCUGAGAGGAUGAUCAGCCACACUGGGACUGAGACACGGCCCAGACUCCUACGGGAGGCAGCAGUGGGGAAUAUUGGACAUUGGGCGAAAGCCUGAUCCAGCAAUGCCGCGUGAGUGAUGAAGGCCUUAGGGUUGUAAAGCUCUUUUACCCGGGAUGAUAAUGACAGUACCGGGAGAAUAAGCGCCGGCUAACUCCGUG